AUGUACUGAGAGCUGUGGAAAAGAGGGAAUAAAAAAACGCCCACAUAAGCGGGCGUUAUUGUUGCUU
Molecule: small RNA, 67 nt
Filed under: Salmonella enterica subsp. arizonae serovar 62:z4,z23:-
Lineage: Bacteria; Pseudomonadati; Pseudomonadota; Gammaproteobacteria; Enterobacterales; Enterobacteriaceae
Also listed under: 1 other name
Description: Salmonella enterica subsp. arizonae serovar 62:z4,z23:-- Salmonella enterica sRNA STnc350
Rfam family: Salmonella enterica sRNA STnc350
Source: Rfam by way of RNAcentral